This 83-nucleotide transfer RNA is filed under the name Trametes sanguinea. RNAcentral's name for it is "tRNA-Ala". It matches the Rfam family "tRNA". Rfam says of the family: Transfer RNA (tRNA) molecules are approximately 80 nucleotides in length. Their secondary structure includes four short double-helical elements and three loops (D, anti-codon, and T loops). Lineage: Eukaryota; Fungi; Basidiomycota; Agaricomycetes; Polyporales; Polyporaceae. The record is from RNAcentral.
GGGCAUUUGGCACAGUGGCAGCGCGCACGCUUCGCAUCUAGGCAACCUGCGUGAGGUCCAGGGUUCAAUCCCCUGAAUGUCCA